RNAcentral lists this ribosomal RNA (466 nucleotides) under uncultured bacterium. Its description in RNAcentral is "partial 16S ribosomal RNA". It matches the Rfam family "Bacterial small subunit ribosomal RNA", at positions 28 to 508 of the family's 1533-position model. The record is from RNAcentral.
GAUGAACGCUGGCGGCGUGCUUAACACAUGCAAGUCGAACGGAAAGGCCCAAGCUUGCUUGGGUACUCGAGUGGCGAACGGGUGAGUAACACGUGGGUGAUCUGCCCUGCACUUCGGGAUAAGCCUGGGAAACUGGGUCUAAUACCGGAUAGGACCACAUUUUGGAUGGUGUGGUGGAAAGUUUUUCGGUGUGGGAUGAGCUCGCGGCCUAUCAGCUUGUUGGUGGGGUAAUGGCCUACCAAGGCGUCGACGGGUAGCCGGCCUGAGAGGGUGUACGGCCACAUUGGGACUGAGAUACGGCCCAGACUCCUACGGGAGGCAGCAGUGGGGAAUAUUGCACAAUGGGCGCAAGCCUGAUGCAGCGACGCCGCGUGGGGGAUGACGGCCUUCGGGUUGUAAACUCCUUUCGCUAGGGACGAAGCGCAAGUGACGGUACCUGGAGAAGAAGCACCGGCUAACUACGUGC